AACGAACGCUGGCGGCAGGCCUAACACAUGCAAGUCGAGCGCGCCUUCGGGUGAGCGGCGGACGGGUGAGUAACGCGUGGGAAUAUGCCCUUCUCUACGGAAUAGUCCUGGGAAACUGGGGGUAAUACCGUAUACGCCCUUUGGGGGAGAGAUUUAUCGGGGAAGGAUUAGCCCGCGUUGGAUUAGGUAGUUGGUGGGGUAAUGGCCUACCAAGCCGACGAUCCAUAGCUGGUUUGAGAGGAUGAUCAGCCACACUGGGACUGAGACACGGCCCAGACUCCUACGGGAGGCAGCAGUGGGGAAUCUUAGACAAUGGGGGCAACCCUGAUCUAGCCAUGCCGCGUGAGUGAUGAAGGCCUUAGGGUUGUAAAGCUCUUUCAGCUGGGAAGAUAAUGACGGUACCAGCAGAAGAAGCCCCGGCUAACUCCGUG
This 431-nucleotide ribosomal RNA is filed under the name uncultured bacterium. RNAcentral's name for it is "partial 16S ribosomal RNA". It matches the Rfam family "Bacterial small subunit ribosomal RNA", at positions 29 to 507 of the family's 1533-position model. The record is from RNAcentral.